UGAGGAACACGACCUUCGGCGGGGGAUAGCCGGCCCAACGGCCGGGUAAUACCGCGUACGACCACAUGGGGACAUCCCUGAGUGGUGAAAGCAGCAAUGCGCCGAUGGAGUGCCUCGCGGCCUAUCAGCUAGUUGGUGAGGUAACGGCUCACCAAGGCAACGAUGCGUAGCCGACCUGAGAGGGUGAUCGGCCACAUUGGAACUGAGACACGGUCCAGACUCCGUAGGAGG
This 231-nucleotide ribosomal RNA is filed under the name uncultured bacterium. RNAcentral's name for it is "partial 16S ribosomal RNA". It matches the Rfam family "Bacterial small subunit ribosomal RNA", at positions 118 to 348 of the family's 1533-position model. The record is from RNAcentral.